This 1223-nucleotide long non-coding RNA is filed under the name Calidris pugnax (ruff). Its description in RNAcentral is "lncRNA (ENSCPUG00000008865.1)". The record is from RNAcentral. Lineage: Eukaryota; Metazoa; Chordata; Aves; Charadriiformes; Scolopacidae.
AAGACUGCUUAAAGCUUUGUGCCAGGGACCAGGAGCUUUCUGCAAGGAAACGAACCUCUGCUCUGUAAGAGUCCAGUUUCACAUGGACUGAACAACACCAGGAGAUAAGGACCCCCACAGACCUUCUCACAUUCUGCUGGAGGUGCAAGGUCCCAAGCCCAGAUUUCCCACCAGUCUGGAGUAACGUUUGGAGGAGCCUGGCAGCAUGGUUCUUCUAGUAGCUCCCAAGGAUAUUGAGGAUCAUAGGAUGUAUGGACCCCCCCAAACCCUCUGGAGAAUGUUGGCUGCAGAUAAGAGCAUCUGGAAGUUCCUGCCAUCUUUUUAUCCUGCUUUUUCCUGGGUCGCCCCAUGUCAUUUGGGAAGGAAGCCUUUCUUGGCCUGAUGAUUAUAGCAAACUUGUCACUUGCUGGAAUACCUCCUCUUGCGUUUUCUCAAGAUGGAGCCAUUGCUUUACCCAGCAGAAGGAUAUUUUUUUCUUCUCCCAGGGCUUUUCCAGUGCAGCAACGCUUAUGGCCAACAGGAUGCUGCUGCGUCACUUGCAUUCUUCACCCCAGCCGCCUUGUUGGGAAGGGAGAAAUCCUCUGAGCGUGGUGGUAACUCUUUCCAGGCUGCCAGCCGUGGUUCCAGGCGCUUACAUCCCGCUCCGUUCCCUCACCAAAAGCUUUGUGCAGCACAGGGCAAGUGCAUCCCCUCUCCCCCAGCAAAGGAGCGACUGCCCACAUGGGCAGAGGUGCCCAUCCCCUCGAAACCUGAAAACCACUCGUUUCUCUCUUGCGCCUUUUCGGAUCCUGAGCGAAAUAGAACAGCAGUUAUUGUUGUAUGAGAGAGUGGGGAUGGGAAGCUCCGGAUAAAUGUCUGGAAAAUACCCAGGGAAAAACGCUGCUGGCAAAGGAUCUGCUGAGUGGGAGUGGGGCUUGACUCGGGUACCAAAAUGUGUUGUGUCGGGGUGAGAAACGCAUGUCUUGGGAAGGAUGUGGGGAACCAGCUGCUUCCCAGGACACACUUCCCUCCUGGGGCUCAUCCUGCGGGAGCCUGGGGAGGUGACACUGGGACUGAAUGGGCUGUCCUUGCCAAUUCCUGCCUUUUAUUCUUUCUGUCAUCUCUCAGAAGAUGCUCCCCUGCCCGCCUGCCUAUCCGGCCGGGUUUGGUGCACAUCACCCCGCUGCCCACGUACAGAAUACAUUAGCAGAUCUUUCCCAGGCAGCUCUGAAGGUAUCCUGAGG